AACAAUCUAUGGUUAAUUUUGGGUAAUGGGGCGGACAGAUUAUACGAACCCAUCUGACGGGUUCCUUUUUUUUCUUUUUCCCUGCUGAACUCAGCAUAUCAUGAGCGAGAAAGAAACUACAAGGACUCCCCUAGUAACUGCGAGUGAAGCGGGAAGAGCUCAAAUUUAAAAUCUGGCGUCCUCUGGCCGUCUGAGUUGUAGUCUGGAGAAGCGUUUUCCGUGUUGGACCGUGUACAAGUCCCUUGGAACAGGGCGUCAUAGAGGGUGAGAAUCCCGUCUUUGACACGGACUACCAAUGCUUUGUGAUGCGCUCUCAAAGAGUCGAGUUGUUUGGGAAUGCAGCUCAAAAUGGGUGGUAAAUUCCAUCUAAAGCUAAAUAUAGGCGAGAGACCGAUAGCGAACAAGUACCGUGAGGGAAAGAUGAAAAGCACUUUGGAAAGAGAGUUAAACAGUACGUGAAAUUGCUGAAAGGGAAACGCUUGAAGUCAGUCACGUCUGCCAGGACUCAGCCUUGCUUCUGCUUGGUGUACUUUCUGGUUUGAUGGGCCAACAUCAAUUUCGACCGUCGGAGAAAGGCUUUGGGAAUGUGGCACCUUCGGGUGUGUUAUAGCCCUUUGUUGUAUACGGCGGUUGGGAUUGAGGACUGCAGCACGCCUUCAUGGCCGGGGUUCGCCCACGUACGUGCUUAGGAUGUUGGCAUAAUGGCUUUAAGCGACCCGUCUUGAAACACGGACCAAGGAGUCUAACAUGCCUGCGAGUGUUUGGGUGGAAAACCCAUGCGCGUAAUGAAAGUGAUAGCUGAGAUCCUCUCAUCAGGAGCAUCAGCGCCUGGACUUGAUCUACGGAGACGGUUCUACGGUAGAGCAUGUAUGUUGGGACCCGAAAGAUGGUGAACUAUGCCUGAAUAGGGUGAAGCCAGAGGAAACUCUGGUGGAGGCUCGUAGCGAUUCUGACGUGCAAAUCGAUCGUCAAAUUUGGGUAUAGGGGCGAAAGACUAAUCGAAACCAUCCUUAUUGG
RNAcentral lists this ribosomal RNA (1017 nucleotides) under Tomentella patagonica. RNAcentral's name for it is "LSU rRNA". It matches the Rfam family "Eukaryotic large subunit ribosomal RNA", at positions 1 to 950 of the family's 3401-position model. The record is from RNAcentral. Lineage: Eukaryota; Fungi; Basidiomycota; Agaricomycetes; Thelephorales; Thelephoraceae.